This 392-nucleotide ribosomal RNA is filed under the name uncultured bacterium. RNAcentral's name for it is "partial 16S ribosomal RNA". It matches the Rfam family "Bacterial small subunit ribosomal RNA", at positions 523 to 918 of the family's 1533-position model. The record is from RNAcentral.
AUACGGAGGAUGCAAGCGUUAUCCGGAUUUAUUGGGUUUAAAGGGUGCGCAGGCGGCCAUUUAAGUCAGCGGUUAAAUCGUGGGGCUCAACCCCAUUCUGCCGUUGAUACUGGGUGGCUUGAUUGCGGUCGAGGUUGGCGGAAUUCGUUGUGUAGCGGUGAAAUGCAUAGAUAUGACGAAGAACACCGAUUGCGUAGGCAGCUGACCAGACCGCAAAUGACGCUCAUGCACGAAAGUGCGGGGAUCGAACAGGAUUAGAUACCCUGGUAGUCCGCACAGUAAACGAUGAAUACUUGUUUUCGGCGAUAUAAUGUCGGAGGCAAAGCGAAAGCGAUAAGUAUUCCACCUGGGGAGUACGCCGGCAACGGUGAAACUCAAAUGAAUCGACGGGG